ACUCUAGUCUGGUGCUGUGAAGAGACAUGAGAGGUAUAGAAUAAGUGGGAGGCCAGGCCCAAGCUCAGCCAUGGGAGGCGACCCACCCGCCAGCGUCCAGGCCAUCAGUGAAAUACCACUACUCUGAUCGUUUUUUCACNUACUUGGANGGCCCAGGUUGCUGCUUGGGUCAGGCUGGGUAUUGGACGGCGGGUGGUGAGU
This 201-nucleotide non-coding RNA is filed under the name Amazona aestiva (blue-fronted amazon). RNAcentral describes it as "Eukaryotic large subunit ribosomal RNA". It matches the Rfam family "Eukaryotic large subunit ribosomal RNA", at positions 2425 to 2580 of the family's 3401-position model. The record is from Rfam by way of RNAcentral. Lineage: Eukaryota; Metazoa; Chordata; Aves; Psittaciformes; Psittacidae.